AACGCACGAGACCUGCGGACCUGCGGAAGGAUCAUUACAAAUCUUUGCGAGUGCUGCGUGCGUAACUGUGCGUGGCAACUCACACAUUAGCACAAGGUCGCAAGGCCUUGAUGUUUACGCUUGUUUGUUUGACAGAGUUAGUUGAGACAAUAAAAAAGACAACUUUUAACAACGGAUCUCU
This 181-nucleotide unclassified non-coding RNA is filed under the name soil metagenome. RNAcentral describes it as "partial contains 5.8S ribosomal RNA, internal transcribed spacer 2, and large subunit ribosomal RNA". The record is from RNAcentral.